RNAcentral lists this ribosomal RNA (398 nucleotides) under uncultured eukaryote. RNAcentral describes it as "SSU rRNA". It matches the Rfam family "Eukaryotic small subunit ribosomal RNA", at positions 638 to 1038 of the family's 1831-position model. The record is from RNAcentral.
AGUUCUGCCAGGUGCCGCCUGUCCGCCCCAGUGGUGAGUACCCGGCGCGCAUUUGGCCCUUUCAAGGGGAGCGUAUCCGCACUUAACUGUGUGGUGCGGGAUCCUUGACUUUUACUUUGAGGAAAUAAGAGUGUUCCAAGCAGGCUCUCGUCGUGCAUAGCUCAGCAUGGAAUAAUAGCAUUGGAUCUCGAUUCCAAACUGUUGGUUGUAGGAAACGAGAUAAUGAUGAAGAGGGAUAGUUGGGGGCAUUCGUAUUUAACUGUCAGAGGUGAAAUUCUUGGAUUUGUUAAAGACGAACUACUGCGAAAGCAUCUGCCAUGGAUGUUUUCAUUGAUCAAGAACCAAAGUUAGCGGGAUCGAAGACGAUCAGAUACCGUCCUAGUCUUAACCUAUAAACC